AGAGUUUGAUCAUGGCUCAGGAUGAACGCUAGCUACAGGCUUAACACAUGCAAGUCGAGGGGCAGCAUGUUGGUUGCUUGCAACCAACGAUGGCGACCGGCGCACGGGUGAGUAACGCGUAUCCAACCUACCCUUGUCCAUCGGAUAACCCGUCGAAAGGCGGCCUAACACGAUAUGCGGUUCACAGCAGGCAUCUAACGUGAACGAAAUGUGAAGGAGAAGGAUGGGGAUGCGUCUGAUUAGCUUGUUGGCGGGGUAACGGCCACAAGGCUACGAUCAGUAGGGGUUCUGAGAGGAAGGUCCCCCANAUUGGAACUGAGACACGGUCCAAACGUCCUACGGGAGCA
This 347-nucleotide ribosomal RNA is filed under the name uncultured bacterium. RNAcentral describes it as "bacterial SSU rRNA". It matches the Rfam family "Bacterial small subunit ribosomal RNA", at positions 8 to 350 of the family's 1533-position model. The record is from RNAcentral.